RNAcentral lists this ribosomal RNA (253 nucleotides) under uncultured bacterium. RNAcentral's name for it is "partial 16S ribosomal RNA". It matches the Rfam family "Bacterial small subunit ribosomal RNA", at positions 524 to 776 of the family's 1533-position model. The record is from RNAcentral.
GACGUAGGGCGCGAGCGUUGUCCGGAUUUAUUGGGCGUAAAGAGCUCGUAGGCGGCUCGUCGCGUCGACUGUGAAAUCCCGUGGCUUAACUGCGGGUCUGCAGUCGAUACGGGCAGGCUAGAGUUCGGUAGGGGAGACUGGAAUUCCUGGUGUAGCGGUGAAAUGCGCAGAUAUCAGGAGGAACACCGGUGGCGAAGGCGGGUCUCUGGGCCGAUACUGACGCUGAGGAGCGAAAGCGUGGGGAGCGAACAGG